Long non-coding RNA from Chionomys nivalis (European snow vole), 162 nucleotides. RefSeq lists it as uncharacterized. The record is from RefSeq and is a predicted model, not a curated record. NCBI's taxonomy places the organism in Eukaryota, Metazoa, Chordata, Mammalia, Rodentia, Cricetidae. The transcript has 3 exons.
ACAUGAGGGGGUGAGGCUGUCGGACAGUGCCUGCUGCUGCUGGUCCUGUCCACAAGGAGCCCCCAGCCUUUCUCAGACUCAACUGCAGACACAACCCACCGCCACCAUGUCUGACGAGGAAACUGAACAAGUUGAGGGUAAGUGUCUUCUCUAUUUUCUCUC